Hemicordylus capensis (graceful crag lizard) is the source of this 984-nucleotide long non-coding RNA. RefSeq lists it as uncharacterized. The record is from RefSeq and is a predicted model, not a curated record. NCBI's taxonomy places the organism in Eukaryota, Metazoa, Chordata, Lepidosauria, Squamata, Cordylidae. The transcript has 2 exons.
CAUGUCGGUCUGGACGGAGCCUUGAUUCAGAGCCUUCUAGCCUUCCUUGGCUUGGCUACCCCAGACAGGGUCCCCGGCGGUGUGGCUAAACACAGGAGAAAGUCACAGACCCUCCCCUCUCUUCCUCCAAAAAGAAAGAAAAGGCAGGCAAAGUCCAAGGAAGGAAGGCAGAUGGCGAGAGUUUGCAGAGCAACGGGCAACUUCGAGGGAGGAAGCGCGAGAGAGGGCAGUUCGCUCACCUGGUCCACUCCUUGGGCACCCACGCCUAGGGAGGAGGAGGAGGCCAUGUUGCGAGGUUCUCUUCCACACAGGCACACCUCUGACUGAGAAGGAGGAAAGAGUGGUCUGGUAAAGGUCGGAGCCCCUUUAAGGCUACUCUUAGAGACUCUUAUUGCUAAGUUGCGCUAGCAGUGCUCCCACACCCUGCCUUGGUUACCGCAAGGCGCGCCGCGGUAUAGCAGGAAACCAACAGGUUAAAUCAGCGGCUACAGCCCCAAAGGCGGGGAAAGACCCGCCGCAAGUUUCCAGAGAAUUAGCUCCGCCCCGCUCCUGGAAAGCGAGGGGGCGUAGUCGCCUCGCUGCCUGCACGCUCGAAGGUGAAGGCUUCGCCUUAAGAAGGGAAGGUGUGUGUAAAGUCUGCUUGUGAGGGAGGGAACGAAGCCCGUCGAACUCCGUCGGUGGGAUGGAGUCUAACUUCGGAACUGCAUCCUGUUGCCCUGUUUCUUUUUUGCAAAGGCUCCAGCAAUAAGGGUUGCCAACUCAUGAAAUACAAAUUGCAGUCAGCUGUGGAGGGUGAAGUCCAAGGCAGGAGCCCAGCAAUAAUUGGACAGACUAUCUAGAAUGAGUUCAGAGGCAAAGCCCGAUCCCAAAGAUGUCGAGUCACCUACAGUGUCCAGUUUUGUUUUGUCUUUUAAAUAAAAAUCUGAGGCCUGUGUUUUAUUGGCAAGUGGUCUGAAAGCAAUAAAUAAUUACAUAAAUAUAAAA